Molecule: long non-coding RNA, 257 nt
Filed under: Setaria viridis
Lineage: Eukaryota; Viridiplantae; Streptophyta; Magnoliopsida; Poales; Poaceae
Description: long non-coding RNA (SVIR_LNC011045)
Source: RNAcentral
UAGAAUUUGAUGGAUAGAUAGCUUGCUUGUUAUAUAUGAUUCAUAUUAGAUAAAGAACUUGAUCAAUAUCAGGUAUGGGAAAAAAAUAAAGUAAAUGUGUUUUUAAUAUUUAGUCAUUGCAAUAAAAUUAAUAAAUAAUCCUUGCAAUAAAAGUGAGGUAAAAAAUAGAAUAAAUGUGUUUUUAAUAUUUAGUCCUUGCAAUAAAAUUAGGUAAAUAAAAAGUUUGCCUUUUAAAUUAGAGUGACAUGAACCCACCC